AAACGACUCUCGGCAACGGAUAUCUCGGCUCUUGCAUCGAUGAAGAACGUAGCGAAAUGCGAUACUUGGUGUGAAUUGCAGAAUCCCGUGAACCAUCGAGUUUUUGAACGCAAGUUGCGCCCGAGGCCAUUUAGGUUGAGGGCACGUCUGCCUGGGCGUCACAC
RNAcentral lists this ribosomal RNA (164 nucleotides) under Eranthis hyemalis. Its description in RNAcentral is "5.8S ribosomal RNA". It matches the Rfam family "5.8S ribosomal RNA". From Rfam's summary of the family: 5.8S ribosomal RNA (5.8S rRNA) is a component of the large subunit of the eukaryotic ribosome. It is transcribed by RNA polymerase I as part of the 45S precursor that also contains 18S and 28S rRNA. Functionally, it is thought that 5.8S rRNA may be involved in ribosome translocation. Lineage: Eukaryota; Viridiplantae; Streptophyta; Magnoliopsida; Ranunculales; Ranunculaceae. The record is from RNAcentral.